CUGCAGUGAUGACUCCUUAGGACACCUUUGGAUUACUCAUGAAAACAAUUUUAAUCUGAGCAGC
Molecule: small nucleolar RNA, 64 nt
Filed under: Gouania willdenowi (blunt-snouted clingfish)
Lineage: Eukaryota; Metazoa; Chordata; Actinopteri; Blenniiformes; Gobiesocidae
Description: Small nucleolar RNA SNORD58 (ENSGWIG00000005889.1)
Rfam family: Small nucleolar RNA SNORD58
About the family: snoRNA U58 is found in introns 1, 3 and 6 of the ribosomal protein RPL17 gene in humans. U58 is a member of the C/D class of snoRNA which contain C (UGAUGA) and D (CUGA) box motifs.
Source: Rfam by way of RNAcentral